RNAcentral lists this non-coding RNA (30 nucleotides) under Bombyx mori (domestic silkworm). The record is from RNAcentral. Lineage: Eukaryota; Metazoa; Arthropoda; Insecta; Lepidoptera; Bombycidae.
UGAACUGGUAAACCACAAAUCCUUGAAGAC